Phalacrocorax carbo (great cormorant) is the source of this 974-nucleotide non-coding RNA. NCBI's taxonomy places the organism in Eukaryota, Metazoa, Chordata, Aves, Suliformes, Phalacrocoracidae. The record is from RefSeq and is a predicted model, not a curated record.
UGGAGGUGAGCGCAGGAAUGUAAAUAUUUAUUAGCGGGUCUGUGUGCAGAUAUGGAGAUGCACUGCCAGCUCGGGUGAGGACUGACAUUUCAUCAGCACUCCUGCCCGGCCUGCCAGGUCUGCUGGCUAGCUCAUAAAUAAUUACACCGGGAGCUGGAUUUGGUAUUACAGAAGGAUUUUGUACAGCGUCUGCAGCACAAACAAGCUUGCUUUAAUGGAGUAUGCGAGCCUCGAGCAGGAGCGAAGGGGCUGGCGGGUCAGCGACAGCCAGCGGAGGCAGCUGCAGGACGGGAGCCCACGGCAGCUGGUGUGCCCAGCCUAGCAGACAGCACGGCCUCUGCAGAGCACCGCAGGGGGAUCGGGUGCCCGCGGGGGUAGCGGGGGCUCCGUGGGUGCAGCCCCCUGCUCCACAGAGAGGGUCUGGCACCUGGCGCAGGCACUCUGCUUCUCCCCAGGGACGGUUUUUCCCUCCAUCCACUGCGGCCACCCGGUCCCUGUGGCGAAGGCACCCGUCCCGAUGGCCCCACGGAGACUGUCCUCGCUUCAGGCUCGGACCAGGGGAGCGGCUGAGCAGUGGCUGUACCUGACACACUGCGUGGGUGUGUGCCAGGCCCAGACCCCCGCCUCUGCCCACGGACACGCGGGCCGCUGCUCCCAGCCGCUGGCUGAGCCUCAAGCAACCGCGCGUGCCCCGGGGGCUGCCGGGGCGCAGGGGGCUCCCCCACGGGGCCAUCGUGGCCUGGGCGCCCCAGGCAGCUCAACGCCCCCCACCCGAGGGCUCACCCUGUCCUGAGCUGGGGAACACGGGCAGGGAAGUGUAUUAGGUGAGGGAAGGGGUACACCAACAAAGGGAGAAAGGAGGCAAAAUACUUAAAAAUGCAAACUGCAUCUGUCAUCAUUGUCUCUGUGAAAGCAGUUCUGUGCUACUGUGCAUUUUUAAAUAGUUGGCAUGGUCUAAUAAAGAGCUGGCUGCA